UGACCAAGUGCUGACAGCCUGGUGAUAAAGUAUCUAGAGCCUGGCGUGGCGGGAGAUGGGCCUUCCCCCUUUAUAAGCUCAGACUCUUAGUAAACUUUGGGGCCUUGAUCAGUAUCUUGUCUUGGUCUAAUUAUUUCUCCUGCCAUUUCCUCCCAUAUAGCUGCAGCCUCCCCUUCAGGAACCUGGUCCUUCUAGCUGCGGGCAGAUACAGAUGGCAUCCGAACAGGGACCUGAAUACAGAAGGAAGGACGGUCUGAGAGAACACUCUCUUGGUAGAGCUCUACAGGAAGAUUAAGAAGAAGAUGUAUCCCGCACAGUUGGUGACAUACUGCAACUGAUCCUGAUGCUGGAGUGUGACUGACUGACUGACUGAUGGGAGCUUCUGGGAAGGUUUGUCAGGUCUUGAUAGCCUGGCUGGCUCCUGCCCCUGUGCCCUCGGGGUAGACUUUGCACCCACCCCUCUGCUUGUUCCUCAAGUAUCUAGGUCUAUAGCACCUCUUGCCAUGAUUAGACCUGCUUUUUAGAUGAUCUACUUUGUGUGAGCCUGGCCUAUCUCUGUCCUGACCCUUCUCCCUAGCUUGAGACAAACUGCAUCUUCUCUUGCUCACUUUGUGCCUCUGGCCCUGACCUUAUAGAUGGCUCUUCUUAAGACCCCUCCUCCAUUCAAACUCCUCCUCCUGGGCUUCAAGUGCUUCCAGUGGUAGGGGAUUUGCCCCCAUUUACCUUAGGAUGUCUACAGGUGCCUCUGGAGGAGGUACAGAUAGGGACUCUAUGCCCUGUGGGCCUUUGACCUAUCAUUGGCAAGAAGUUCGCCUGGUGCUGGGUAGAGGACACUCAGUGCUCAGUAGCUUGAAGGCACAGUGGGAGACUAUCAGAGAACAUCUGGAGUACUUGUCCAGGUGCUCAGUUCUUUGGCUCCAGGAAGUGAUGCUGACCCUAGGCCCCUCCCACCCCAACUUGUUUUUAACUAAUUAAACUUUACUGUUUUUACUUAAGAUUCUGUGCUGAGCAGGUCUGUGUUUAUCCAGGCUCUAGUGCAGAAAUCAGAAGCUGGUCCCAAAUAUGACAAAAACAUGUAUGACCUCUUCAGGACAUUUCCACACUGGGAAGGGAGGUUACUGCUCUAUUUCAGCAGCAGAUUUCCCGGGGGAAGGUUUAGAAGAGAGGCUGUGUGGGAGCUGUUAACCCUGCACUGAGAAUAGGCCAAGAAGAAGUGAUGUCUCAUGGAAAAAGGGAGAUCGGUCAGUGAUGUAGCAGACAGUGUGUCACUGCAAGAAGCUCUGUACUACACUACCCACUGUGGGAGGAAGUGUACUUGCAUAGGAAUAUACCAGGUGAUGCAGGGAGCAGUAGGGAGGGGACCCAGGCCAGGAACUGGGAGUACAUCCUUCAGCUGAUCUACAGGAGAGGCACACUCUCCCUCACAAAGCCUCCAGCAGAUGGAAGAUAUAACUUUGAAGUGUGAAUCUAUAGAUGCCCUUCUAGAGCUGGCACUGUAGCUGAGUUGCUGACAUGCUUGCUAAGCACACACAGCUCUAAGUUUGAUCGCUCAGUAUUGCAUAAACAGUGUAUCAAGCUUGGCAUUGGUGACACAUGCCUUUAAUCCCAGCACUUGGAAGGAA
Long non-coding RNA from Mus musculus (house mouse), 1622 nucleotides. RefSeq annotates it as predicted gene, 32062. The transcript is spliced from 3 exons. NCBI's taxonomy places the organism in Eukaryota, Metazoa, Chordata, Mammalia, Rodentia, Muridae. The record is from RefSeq and is a predicted model, not a curated record.